GCGCCCGUAGCUCAGGGGAUAGAGCAUCUGUCUUCUAAACAGAAUGUCGCAGGUUCAAGUCCUGCCGGGCGCG
Molecule: transfer RNA, 73 nt
Filed under: bacterium
Lineage: Bacteria
Description: tRNA-Arg
Rfam family: tRNA
About the family: Transfer RNA (tRNA) molecules are approximately 80 nucleotides in length. Their secondary structure includes four short double-helical elements and three loops (D, anti-codon, and T loops).
Source: RNAcentral